This 253-nucleotide ribosomal RNA is filed under the name uncultured bacterium. Its description in RNAcentral is "partial 16S ribosomal RNA". It matches the Rfam family "Bacterial small subunit ribosomal RNA", at positions 524 to 776 of the family's 1533-position model. The record is from RNAcentral.
GACAGAGGUCUCAAGCGUUAGGCGGAAUCACUGGGCUUAAAGCGUGUGUAGGCGGAUCGUUAAGUGCCUUGUGAAAUCCCACAGCUCAACUGUGGAACUGCUUGGCAUACUGGCGGUCUUGAGCCAUCUAGGGGUCGCUGGAACAAACGGUGGAGCGGUGAAAUGCGUAGAUAUCGGGAGGAACACCGGUGGCGAAGGCGGCCUUCUGGACGGAUACUGACGCUGAGACGCGAAAGCGUGGGGAGCAAACAGG